Molecule: ribosomal RNA, 422 nt
Filed under: uncultured bacterium
Lineage: Bacteria
Description: bacterial SSU rRNA
Rfam family: Bacterial small subunit ribosomal RNA
Source: RNAcentral
UAAGGAAUAUUGGACAAUGGUCGCAAGACUGAUCCAGCCAUGCCGCGUGCAGGAAGACGGCCCUAUGGGUUGUAAACUGCUUUUGUACCAGAGAAAACCUAUCUACGUGUAGAUAGCUGAUAGUAUGGUAAGAAUAAGCAUCGGCUAACUUCGUGCCAGCAGCCGCGGUAAGACGAAGGAUGCAAGCGUUACUCGGAAUUACUGGGCGUAAAGCGUGCGUAGGCGGUCUGUUAAGUCUGCUGUGAAAUCCCCGGGCUCAACCUGGGAAUGGCAGUCGAAACUGGCGGGCUAGAGUACGGUAGAGGAUUGUGGAAUUCCCGGUGUAGCGGUGAAAUGCGUAGAGAUCGGCAACAACACCAGUGGCGAAGGCGGCCAUCUGGACCAGUACUGACGCUGAGGCACGAAAGCGUGGGGAGCAAACA